RNAcentral lists this unclassified non-coding RNA (240 nucleotides) under uncultured fungus. RNAcentral describes it as "partial contains 5.8S ribosomal RNA, internal transcribed spacer 2, and large subunit ribosomal RNA". The stretch from base 1 to 52 matches the Rfam family "5.8S ribosomal RNA", at positions 103 to 154 of the family's 154-position model. Lineage: Eukaryota; Fungi. The record is from RNAcentral.
AACGCACAUUGCGCCCCUUGGUAUUCCGAGGGGCAUGCCUGUUCGAGCGUCAUUACACCACUCAAGCCUCGCUUGGUAUUGGGCGCCGCGAUCCGUCGCGCGCCUCAAUGUCUCCGGCUGAGCUAUCCAUCUCUAAGCGUUGUGGCAUUUUGUUUCCGCUUGCGAGUAUAGAGCGUUCGCGCCGUUAAACAUUUUUACAAGGUUGACCUCGGAUCAGGUAGGGAUACCCGCUGAACUUAA